ACAAACAAAAAAUUGAAUAACUUGCUUCUAAUCCAAAACAAUACCACCAAAAACAAAAAUAUGAACAAUUUAUUAUCAUUCAAUCACUAUAUAAAGCUACAAAUCAAAAUUCAUACAAAAUAAAAAAGAAAUCAUAAAAAAAAAACUUACCUUUCUUCAACAAAUGGAGGCACCUACAAAUUGAUCCCAAAGCUUUAACCACUUGCUUGGAACAAUGCUUCUAAUCCAAAACAACACCACCAAAAAUAAAGAACGUGAGCAAUUUAUUAUCAUUCAUACAACACAAAAAUGAAAUCAUCAAAAUAAACUUACCUUUCUUCAAGAAAUUGAUCCCAAAGCUUUAACCACACCUAGGGACACUUGCUUGGAACAAUGAGGGGAGAAAUUUGCUUGAAAGAAGCUGAUUGAAGAAGAAAAUCGGAAAUAUGGUGAAGGAACUCGAAGCAAACAGAAAGGGAAAUGAAGAGGAACUGUAAUCUGCGUGCGUUUUUUUUUUUAUCUGCGAUCAUCAAUAGCGGCGACACUAUUAGCGGCGACGCGAGGAUCAAUACCGGCGACAAUUGUUAAUAGCGGCGACAAACUGGAGGGAAGGGUACCGCGUCAUUUUUAUCAGACAAUUAGUGGCGACUUUUUUAG
Molecule: long non-coding RNA, 636 nt
Filed under: Lactuca sativa (garden lettuce)
Lineage: Eukaryota; Viridiplantae; Streptophyta; Magnoliopsida; Asterales; Asteraceae
Description: long non-coding RNA (LSAT_LNC008251)
Source: RNAcentral